Molecule: long non-coding RNA, 567 nt
Organism: Drosophila miranda
Lineage: Eukaryota; Metazoa; Arthropoda; Insecta; Diptera; Drosophilidae
Exons: 2
Source: RefSeq, a predicted model, not a curated record
CGUUAGUCAGUUUUAGUUUGUGUUUCGUGGCAACAAAAUUUCCGACUUUUGUAAAUGUAUUUUUUAUUUUUUUAUACCCAAAAUUUGUGUGAUUCGCUUUUGGAAUGUCGUAGUGGUCUCAAAACACGUCGCUAGUCCUGGUUCCAAUCACAAAGUCCCUCGAUAGACCCAGGAAGCCAUUGUGCCAUUGGAAUUAUGGGAAGCUAUUGAUUUCCUUCGAAUCGGUGGAUGAGGAGUGUCGACAUUGGUUCUACUCCCGCGCAGCCGUUCCCAUCGCACGCCCAGGCUCCCGUUCUCCAACAAGGUGAAUGGGUUCAACGCAUAGGAUGUCCUUACCGUCCUGUGUGAGCGAGUGCCUCUGUGAACACUCCGAUGGGAAAUGGGUUGCGAGGAAGAGGAGCAGUCGACCAAGUCGAUCGCUAGUUUUAUGGCAAAUACCACUAGGGGAUUAUGGGUUUUUGGGACCGGCGGAGGAGCCUUACUUUUUGGGAGGAAUGUGGGUGCGACUCUUCGUUGGACAUAUUUUGUAUUGAAUUGAAAUUAAAAGAACUUUCUUAACAAAAAAAA